Molecule: ribosomal RNA, 434 nt
Filed under: uncultured Lachnospiraceae bacterium
Lineage: Bacteria; Bacillati; Bacillota; Clostridia; Lachnospirales; Lachnospiraceae
Description: partial 16S ribosomal RNA
Rfam family: Bacterial small subunit ribosomal RNA
Source: RNAcentral
ACGGAAGGCAGCAGUGGGGAAUAUUGCACAAUGGGGGAAACCCUGAUGCAGCGACGCCGCGUGAGUGAAGAAGUUAUUCGUAAUGUAAAGCUCUAUCAGCAGGGAAGAAAAUGACGGUACCUGACUAAGAAGCCCCGGCUAACUACGUGCCAGCAGCCGCGGUAGUACGUAGGGGGCAAGCGUUAUCCGGAUUUACUGGGUGUAAAGGGUGCGUAGACGGCUGUGCAAGUCAGAAGUGAAAUCCCGGGGCUUAACCUCGGUGCUGCUUUUGAAACUGUACGGCUAGAGUGCUGGAGGGGCAAGCGGAAUUCCUGGUGUAGCGGUGAAAUGCGUAGAUAUCAGGAGGAACACCGGUGGCGAAGGCGGCUUGCUGGACAGUAACUGACGUUGAGGCACGAAAGCGUGGGGAGCAAACAGGAUUAGAUACCCUGGUA